UACAGAGGGUGCGAGCGUUGUCCGGAAUCACUGGGCGUAAAGGGCGCGUAGGCGGCCUGAUAAGUAGGGGGUGAAAUCCUGUGGCUUAACUGCAGGGCUGCCUCCUAGACUGUUAGGCUCGAGCACGGUAGAGGCAGAUGGAAUUCCCGGUGUAGCGGUGGAAUGCGUAGAGAUCGGGAAGAACAUCGGUGGCGAAGGCGGUCUGCUGAGCCGUUGCUGACGCUGAGGCGCGACAGCGUGGGGAGCAAACAGG
This 253-nucleotide ribosomal RNA is filed under the name uncultured bacterium. RNAcentral describes it as "partial 16S ribosomal RNA". It matches the Rfam family "Bacterial small subunit ribosomal RNA", at positions 524 to 776 of the family's 1533-position model. The record is from RNAcentral.